GGGAUCCAAGGAUUGAGAGACAUCAGACCGCUGCAACCAAGGAGAGCAAUUCUUUGUCACUUCAGACUGCAACUUAGAUAUGCAGAAUCAAACCUUUUACCUUUGUCUUGCCUUUGGCUUUGGGAUCACCCAGCCAGACAUGAAGCAAAAGAUAACAGUUAUGGCAAAGCCAGUUGCAGCUCCUAUCCCAAACUGCAAGCCCAUAAUAGUCAUUUUCUCAGUGGGAGGCCGAGUAGCGGGAGGAAGUGGUGCAGGAGGAGGACGUUGGGCAAGUUGACAUGAAGUAAAAACCCCACCACCAUAUAGAUCAUUGUUCCCCUCAAAGCUUGAACAUGGAAAGGUCAAGAAUUGGCCUCCUGUUGGGAUUUCCCCAUAAAGUUGAUUGUCUGCUAUACUGAACUUGGAUAGAAAGCUGAGCUUUACCAAUGAACUGGGUAUUUCUCCGGAUAAUUUGUUAUGAGACAAAUCCAAAAUUUCUAAACUUGACAUUCUAGAUAAAUCAUCUGGAAUUGGCCCGGAAAGCUCGUUUGUGCUGAAGUUUAAAAAAUGAAGUCCUUUCAAGUUCCCAAAACUUGGCCAAAUUGGUCCAUUCAGCUUGUUGCGACUUAGAUCCAAAGUUGGUGGAAGGCUCCCAAUUUUUUUAUACUGCAAACUUCCACCAGAUCCCCCAGUCUUCUUGUAUAGAGGUAUGCCUGUGGCAUUGCCAUCAAUUAAAUUAUUCCUAUUUGUAAGGGUCUGUAGUCCUGUCAAGCUUAUUGGUAUUUCACCAGUGAACAAGUUGUUGGACAAAUCCAAGUAAAAGAGACUAUUGAAAUUGCCUAGCCAGGAUGGCACUGUUUCGCCCAAAAGAUUCCAAGAGAGAACUAAUAACUGCAGCAUUUUGCAACCCCUCAGCCA
Molecule: unclassified non-coding RNA, 897 nt
Filed under: Hevea brasiliensis (rubber tree)
Lineage: Eukaryota; Viridiplantae; Streptophyta; Magnoliopsida; Malpighiales; Euphorbiaceae
Source: RNAcentral